UAUCGCUGAGAAGUCGAUCAAACUUGGUCAUUUAGAGGAAGUAAAAGUCGUAACAAGGUUUCCGUAGGUGAACCUGCGGAAGGAUCAUUAUCGAAAUUAUAGGUGAGGGUUGUAGCUGGCCUCUCGGGGCAUGUGCACGCCCGAGCCCUUAAUCCACACACACCUGUGAACCUAUUGUAAGGGCCCUUAAAAAAGGCCUUUACGUCUUAUCAUCAACCCAUCGUAUGUCUCAUAGAAUGUAAAUAUAUGUCCUCGCCUUAAAAAGCGUUGAUAAACUUAUACAACUUUCAACAACGGAUCUCUUGGCUCUCGCAUCGAUGAAGAACGCAGCGAAAUGCGAUAAGUAAUGUGAAUUGCAGAUUUUCAGUGAAUCAUCGAAUCUUUGAACGCACCUUGCGCUCCUUGGUAUUCCGAGGAGCAUGCCUGUUUGAGUGUCAUUAAAUUCUCAACUCCGAUCGAUUUGUUUCGACUUCGGAGCUUGGAUUUGGAGCGUGCUGGCGUCGGUCGGCUCCUCUUAAAUGCAUCAGCGGAAUCUAACGUUUCGGACGUCAGUGUGAUAAUCAUGUUGCGCUGUCUGUCUGAUCCGAAAGCCCGCUCACAAUGGUCUUCGGACAACUUCAUAUCAAAUUUGACCUCAAAUCAGGUAGGACUACCCGCUGAACUUAAGCAUAUCAAUAAGCGGAGGAAAAGAAACUAACAAGGAUUCCCCUAGUAACUGCGAGUGAAGCGGGAAAAGCUCAAAUUUAAAAUCUGGCGGUCUUGCGGCCGUCCGAGUUGUAAUCUGGAGAAGCGUUUAUCCGCGUCGGACCGUGUACAAGUCUUCUGGAAGGGAGCGUCGUA
Molecule: ribosomal RNA, 840 nt
Filed under: Piloderma olivaceum
Lineage: Eukaryota; Fungi; Basidiomycota; Agaricomycetes; Atheliales; Atheliaceae
Description: eukaryotic LSU rRNA
Rfam family: 5.8S ribosomal RNA (bases 283-437)
Source: RNAcentral